CCAAAUUAAAAUAAAUAAAUGAUUUAAAAAAAAAAAGAAAAAGCUGCACUAGAUUGUAAAGACUGGGGUGGACCUCUUUCUUAAUGUCCAGUGUCCUUUGUCUUAAGAUUUGGUGCAAUAUGU
Small nucleolar RNA from Bos taurus (domestic cattle), 123 nucleotides. Ensembl annotates it as Small nucleolar RNA SNORA81. Lineage: Eukaryota; Metazoa; Chordata; Mammalia; Artiodactyla; Bovidae. The record is from Ensembl.